Molecule: ribosomal RNA, 531 nt
Filed under: Triticum aestivum (bread wheat)
Lineage: Eukaryota; Viridiplantae; Streptophyta; Magnoliopsida; Poales; Poaceae
Description: partial small subunit ribosomal RNA
Source: RNAcentral
AUGGAUUUCUGCUUUUCGGUUCCAGGUAUAUGUGUUGCACUUGCCCUCUGUAUCGCUGUGCCAAGAGCUAGCAAGAACCGUUUCUUUAAUUACGCAUUUUUGCGAUACACUGUAAUUAUCAUCAUACUGAACUGGUUUCAAUCCACACAGGGUGGGGGCCAUCCUGCUCUACAAUACGUUGCUUGUGGCGUGAUUAGUUUUGUUGAUGUUCACUGUUUGUGGAAUGUAGAAGUAAAACAGCCGAUGAGUGAAGUGUGGGAUUGGAACAUGUAUGGAACCAAACUGAAGUUUCAUGGAUGGUUUAUUAACACUGCCAAUGAGGAUGGUGACGGAGGUGAGGAUGGUGACGGAGGUGAGGAUGAUGCUUCAUUUGCCUCGGAGCAUUCCGAUGAUGAAGAUUUGACGGAGGUGUCAAUUUUACGUGCGGUGCAAGUGUUGGCCAUUCGUGCAAACUUCCGUAUCAGCCGUAUGAAUGCCCAUGACUGGUACCAAAGUUUUGUCAUCUAUACGGCGCUCGAGGGGGAAGUAUAA